RNAcentral lists this ribosomal RNA (253 nucleotides) under uncultured bacterium. Its description in RNAcentral is "partial 16S ribosomal RNA". It matches the Rfam family "Bacterial small subunit ribosomal RNA", at positions 524 to 776 of the family's 1533-position model. The record is from RNAcentral.
CACGUAGGGCGCGAGCGUUGUCCGGAAUUAUUGGGCGUAAAGGGCUCGUAGGCGGUUUGUCGCGUCGGCUGUGAAAUCCCGAGGCUCAACCUCGGGCCUGCAGUCGAUACGGGCAAACUAGAGUGUGGUAGGGGAGACUGGAAUUCCUGGUGUAGCGGUGAAAUGCGCAGAUAUCAGGAGGAACACCGGCGGCGAAGGCGGGUCUCUGGGCCAUAACUGACGCUGAGGAGCGAAAGCGUGGGGAGCGAACAGG